Nerophis lumbriciformis (worm pipefish) is the source of this 296-nucleotide non-coding RNA. The record is from RefSeq and is a predicted model, not a curated record. NCBI's taxonomy places the organism in Eukaryota, Metazoa, Chordata, Actinopteri, Syngnathiformes, Syngnathidae.
UGGGACUCAAGCAUGUAGAGCAAGAAGACUUUCUGUCCCUGUGGAAGAGACAGGAUUCUUUAUAAAAGAUGCACGUUAGCUUCCUGAACGAGCGGGACGUCAAAUAGGUGACUGAUGGCUUGGUCAGCAGCAAGGGCAGACGUUACGCCUUUAAAAGACGUCUUCAGAGGUCCCUCAGGGUCUCGCUCACUGCUUUUUUCCUACAUCAACCCAUCUCAAAGGUCUCAGUUGAGUCCCGGGGGCAGACGCCCAAGAAGGGUGCAGGGCGGCUGAAGUGCUGACACGGCUCCAUCAAG